Molecule: ribosomal RNA, 468 nt
Filed under: uncultured bacterium
Lineage: Bacteria
Description: partial 16S ribosomal RNA
Rfam family: Bacterial small subunit ribosomal RNA
Source: RNAcentral
GACGAACGCUGGCGGCGUGCUUAACACAUGCAAGUCGAACGGAAAGGCCCUGCUUUUGUGGGGUGCUCGAGUGGCGAACGGGUGAGUAACACGUGAGUAACCUGCCCUUGACUUUGGGAUAACUUCAGGAAACUGGGGCUAAUACCGGAUAGGAGCUCCUGCUGCAUGGUGGGGGUUGGAAAGUUUCGGCGGUUGGGGAUGGACUCGCGGCUUAUCAGCUUGUUGGUGGGGUAGUGGCUUACCAAGGCUUUGACGGGUAGCCGGCCUGAGAGGGUGACCGGCCACAUUGGGACUAAGAUACGGCCCAGACUCCUACGGGGGGCAGCAGUGGGGAAUAUUGCACAAUGGGCGGAAGCCUGAUGCAGCAACGCCGCGUGCGGGAUGACGGCCUUCGGGUUGUAAACCGCUUUCGCCUGUGACGAAGCGUGAGUGACGGUAAUGGGUAAAGAAGCACCGGCUAACUACGUG